GAUGAACGCUGGCGGCGUGCCUAAUACAUGCAAGUCGAGCGGCAGCACGGUCUUCGGACUGGUGGCGAGCGGCGGACGGCUGAGUAACGCGUAGGAACAUGCCCCAAAGUGAGGAAUAACUGCCCGAAAGGGUGGCUAAUGCCGCAUGUGGUCUUCGGACUAAAGAUUUAUGCGCUUUGGGAGUGGCCUGCGUCCGAUUAGCUUGUUGGUGAGGUAAUGGCUCACCAAGGCGACGAUCGGUAGCUGGUCUGAGAGGAUGAUCAGCCAGACUGGAACUGAGAACGGUCCAGACUCCUACGGGAGGCAGCAGUAGGGGAUUUUCCACAAUGGGCGAGAGCCUGAUGGAGCAACGCCGCGUGCAGGAUGAAUGCCUUCGGGUUGUAAACUGCUUUUAUGUGCGAAGAAUUUGACUGUAACACAUGAAUAAGGAUCGGCUAACUACGUGCCAGCAGCCGCGGUAA
Molecule: ribosomal RNA, 461 nt
Filed under: uncultured bacterium
Lineage: Bacteria
Description: partial 16S ribosomal RNA
Rfam family: Bacterial small subunit ribosomal RNA
Source: RNAcentral